GCGGAUGUGCUGGAAUGGCAGACAGGCACGUUUGAGGGGCGUGUGUCAGUAGACGUAUGGGUUCAAGUCCCAUCAUCCGCA
RNAcentral lists this transfer RNA (81 nucleotides) under Andreesenia angusta. Its description in RNAcentral is "Eubacterium angustum tRNA". It matches the Rfam family "tRNA". From Rfam's summary of the family: Transfer RNA (tRNA) molecules are approximately 80 nucleotides in length. Their secondary structure includes four short double-helical elements and three loops (D, anti-codon, and T loops). Further hydrogen bonds mediate the characteristic L-shaped molecular structure. tRNAs have two regions of fundamental functional importance: the anti-codon, which is responsible for specific mRNA codon recognition, and the 3' end, to which the tRNAs corresponding amino acid is attached (by aminoacyl-tRNA synthetases). tRNAs cope with the degeneracy of the genetic code in two manners: having more than one tRNA (with a specific anti-codon) for a particular amino acid; and 'wobble' base-pairing, i.e. permitting non-standard base-pairing at the 3rd anti-codon position. Lineage: Bacteria; Bacillati; Bacillota; Tissierellia; Tissierellales; Gottschalkiaceae. The record is from Rfam by way of RNAcentral.